RNAcentral lists this long non-coding RNA (340 nucleotides) under Macaca mulatta (Rhesus monkey). RNAcentral describes it as "lncRNA (ENSMMUG00000056421.1)". Lineage: Eukaryota; Metazoa; Chordata; Mammalia; Primates; Cercopithecidae. The record is from RNAcentral.
AGGGAGACAUUAUGGGAUGCCCAGGGGGCUUUGGAAAUCAAAUACAAUGUUUGAGUAGCACAAUUUGAGGUGGCAUCCUGUUAUUACAGAAAUAUCUUUCAUAAAUUAUGAUUUUUUUUUUCAACAAAUGGAAGUAAUGCAACACCUAUUUGGUAUACUCAUCAUAUACGUUAAAUCUAACAAUGGCAUAUAAUUGAUAACAUCAGCAGGUCAAUCUACAAAUAUUCUGUAUCAUGGCAUUUCUGAGAAGCAAUUUUUAAUUUAACAACACGGAGAAUCUGGUGUGAGAGAGACCUGACUUACUGAUCUGAGAUGCAGUUUUUCAUUGUCAUGGAAUUCU